RNAcentral lists this ribosomal RNA (497 nucleotides) under uncultured bacterium. Its description in RNAcentral is "partial 16S ribosomal RNA". It matches the Rfam family "Bacterial small subunit ribosomal RNA", at positions 28 to 507 of the family's 1533-position model. The record is from RNAcentral.
GAUGAACGCUGGCGGCGUGCCUAAUACAUGCAAGUCGAGCGAACAGACGAGGAGCUUGCUCCUCUGACGUUAGCGGCGGACGGGUGAGUAACACGUGGAUAACCUACCUAUAAGACUGGGAUAACUUCGGGAAACCGGAGCUAAUACCGGAUAAUAUAUUGAACCGCAUGGUUCAAUAGUGAAAGACGGUUUUGCUGUCACUUAUAGAUGGAUCCGCGCCGCAUUAGCUAGUUGGUAAGGUAACGGCUUACCAAGGCAACGAUGCGUAGCCGACCUGAGAGGGUGAUCGGCCACACGGGAACAGAGACACGGUCCAGACUCCUACGGUAGGCAGCAGUAGGGAAUCUUCCGCAAUGGGCGAAAGCCUGACGGAGCAACGCCGCGUGAGUGAUGAAGGUCUUCGGAUCGUAAAACUCUGUUAUUAGGGAAGAACAAAUGUGUAAGUAACUAUGCACGUCUUGACGGUACCUAAUCAGAAAGCCACGGCUAACUACGUG